CUGCAGUGUGCCAUGGAGAUUUAGAGGGAUGGGGCCUGGGGAGGGUGUGUGGGAGGGGGAGAGUGUUGGCUGUUCAGGGUGUUAGGUUGUUGUUGUCUUGGAUGCUCACUGUCUAAGUAGGACUACCCAAAUGUUCUGAGUUUCAGACGUCAUUUUCCUGCAAAGAACUUCCAAGCUCAGGUGGAACCGGCUGAGAUGGAGGUUCUCACGAGGGGGUUGAGGGGUACAGGUGUCCUGGGAGAGUGAGGGUGGCCCGGGGCACGGAGGGGCGAACCACUGGCCCAUAGCCCGCCUCAAUGGAGGGAUCCCAGGGGCCAAGUCAAAAGGCCAGGUUCCACUUGAUGGAGAAAGAAAAGGGCUGUUUCAGCCACUGCCCAGCAGGAAAGAUCUGGUUGUGGAAGACCUCUUUCAGGACUCUCUGUUUGUCUGAAGGCUGUCACAGCAGAUGAGUACUCAGCAAACAGCGUGAACAAGGAUUUGAACCAGAAAACCAACAGAGCCUUGACAAUAUUGUGAUUGGGCCUUGUCUCUUUAGUGGGGGCUGAAAGGCGAAUUGAGAGCAGGGACAAGUGCGCAUUCAGAGCUGGACGUGGAAGCUUUCGGGUUGUUUUUGAUGGAUUCUGGCGGAUAAAUCGCAGUCUGUAUGUGUUGGACAAAGUUAAAUCAUGUUAAUCUCCUCUUUCGCUCAUUUAAGGUAGAAUGGGUGUGAACCUGAUCCACUUCCUGUCCUCUUCUUCAUUGAGGUCUCACAAAGUCAUUGGGUAAUCGUAUGUCCACUUUGUUCUGUCUUGAAAGAUUUGGGUGUCCUUGUCAAGUCGCCAUGUUGGCACUGACCACUAUCCCUCUGAAAACGUAUUGAAAUAAACAUCACUCACUAGAUGAUUCAAUAAAUCAUUUAAAUUGAUUUAAAUGUA
This is a long non-coding RNA of Salmo salar (Atlantic salmon), 914 nucleotides long. RefSeq lists it as uncharacterized. The record is from RefSeq and is a predicted model, not a curated record. Lineage: Eukaryota; Metazoa; Chordata; Actinopteri; Salmoniformes; Salmonidae.